UAAUAUUAUUGCAUUGCUAUUGUCAUGAGAUUAUAAUAUACAUAAUUUAAACAAUGAUUUAUUGAAAAAAAAAAAGAAAAGGAAAUUUUAAGCCUAUCUAGGAAUUUGGGGUAUUUGAGCAGUCAUCUUUCAAUAAAUCCAAAAUAAAUAUUUUAAAUAUGCCAUAGGACAUUCCUGCCUAUCUCUUUGAAUACCAAUAUUGAUCCUGUAACCUCAGUCUCCUCUCCAUAAUGGUUUAUUUCAAUUUUUACAAAAUUUAGGCAGAAUAAUCUGAUUGCCUUGAAUCCAGCUGGAUUAGGACUAUGUGUUUUUUUAAUCCAAGGCUCCUUCUCCAUGUCUAAUUUUAUAUUUGUUCCUAUUUGACAGUUAAAAGGAAAACAAAAGCUUUUCUUGGAUACAAAAUCCUCUGCAAAAUCAGACCCAUAAUAUACAAGUAAAGCUGAAGGUGAAUGAAAACUAAAAUCAUCCCAUGCCCAUUCCUUGCGACUCUUCUUGCGUCCAGAUUGAAAAAUUGGUGUUUUUGCAGGUCUUAGCACUUUUCAGUGUUUUUCAGGAUAUUUUCACUUUCAUUCUUUUGCUGCAAAGAACCAAUGUCUCUAGAGACAGACUGUUGCUUGCAUGCUUUCUAAUCCACAUUUAAUCAGAACCCAUGGCAUACACCUAUGAUUAAUUUCACAUUGCUUCAGCUCUGAGGUGGAAACACUUGGUGACUGAUGUCACGUGCUCUAUGUGUCAGAAAACCCUCUGAGAGAGACAGCUCAGCCCCUCCAGAGCUCCAGGACCACAUCUCUACUCACAGGAAUACAAACAUCUCCAAGACCCCCUUAACAGCCCCUGAUUAAAGAGGCUGCAUUCAGGGGACAGAAGCAGCAAGGAGAGAUCUUCUUGCUUGUCUGCCAUUUCCUAAGCCUGUGGCUACUUCACUUUUAUGUGGACUAGCAAGGGCCACAGCCACCCAAGGGGCCAGGGAAGCCUCUGCAGGGAUGCUGAGGGUUGGCCAUGAACACCACCAAAGGAGGAAUGUGGGAGAGGUGGAGGUGGCUGCAGAGGGUCAAAGCAGGAGAGCCCAGGGCCUCUGAAGAGACCCUCAUGUCCUGGGCUGCAGUGAGUGUCAGACUCUUUUGGCUGUUUUUUUCUUUUUUUUUUUUUUUUUUUUGCAUGUGUGUGUCUUGCAUUCCCACACCACAAAGCAAGCUGCUGCUUCCAUCCUGACAGCUCCAGAGUUCUGAGCAUGGAUUGUGCCUGAGCAUGGGUUGGUGGCUCUGCCUUGCCUCUGCACAGACAAAAAUCACCAGCUCUGCAUUCACUGCCUUGGGAGGCUCUAGCUGGAAGGGAGCUCCCCCAGCUGCAGCUGGGCACUGCCUCCACAGGGAUUUACUACCAGAGACUUCCCAUGCCUAACAAUCUUCUCCAGAGUUCUCUGCUUCUGGCUUGGUCCUUGAUUAAUUAAGGUCUUGACACUGUGAAACUGAGAAUUUUUCCCAACAGCAUUAUAUACAGGAAAGAGCAAUUACAGGCUCAGGACUAAUGCACUACACACUCACUGUUGCACUCAUUCCACUGAACUACGUUAGUAAUUAAUGGUAUUUUCACCAAAAAGCUGAGCAAACACAGUAACAAUAGCAAGUCAAAUGUACAACAUUGUGAGACAUGGGUUUCAAAAGAACAGGGACCAAAGUUGCCAAGGCCUCCUGGAUUCAGGUAACUCCCUGAGCUCUUCUUUCCACUCAGCUGAGAUCUCCCCAGCAUUUACCACAGUUACACCCUGACCUUAGAAGCAGAGUGUUAUUAUUAUCAUCAUGUCAGAGCACCCCUCUGAUGUAACAGGUGUUUGGUUAGAACUUUGUCAAGUCAGUGUUUAUUUUUAACAGCUGGAUUACCAACAGCCAUUGGAUGUGUCCCCUUUUCCCUGUCCCCUGAGGUGGAGUCCCUGCCCUGGGGCUCUGGUAUUUGCUGACUAACCAGAGUGCCUGUAGCCUGUUCCAGAGCCUCAGACUUGGUACUGGGAACAGGAGAGGCAACACUCUGCACCAGCACAGUGAUAACUGGAGGUGUGAGACAAAGGUUUCAGGUAAGAUGCUGCAGGCAGAAAGGGUAUCUGCACUGGCAGAGCCCUUGCCACCAGCAGUUUGGGCUUCCUACAAAUCUUUCUACAAAAGGCUGAGAUUUUUUCCAGCACUUGGGCAUUUCCCUUUGCUGCUCUGCAGGCUGUUCCAAGGUCUUCAGCAGAAACAUGUCAGGCCUGCUUCCACCAUUCCUGUUUGAACACAGCCCCUGGACAAGAGAGUCAGCUCUGGACUGGAUCUGGGAGAAUAUAACAAACACACAGUUUUCCAGAUAGCCACUGAUGUUCAAGCAUGAAAGCAACAGUUUGAUUAUUGCAUUCUGAUUGCUCUAUUGCACAUGCAUGUUAUCAACAAAAAAGUCAUGCAAAACUUAUGGUGGAUUUCACUUUUUCUUAUUUAACUGUUUUAUUGUAAGCAUGUACAAUGCUCCCCCCAACAAUUUUUGUUGAAAAGAUGAGCCAGCAUAGCAAAGUUUUAAACAUCCUUCUGCUUCUUUACAAUAAGACAGAUGAUCAUGACAUUUAAGUUUUCCCUUUACUAGUUUAAAACUUUCCACUUUAUCUCAGAGUCCUUAUCCUGAGAGAUACUUCAGAGAGUUUGAUUGUACAAGCAGUGAAUAGAGACCCGGGUUUUUGGUGUUGAUUGGCUUCUAUAUAUACUGAAUUUAUUUAUGGAAAAUCAGAACAUUCUCCUUGCUAGGCACUCUCUACAGGUCCAGUAGUGAAAUAUCCUCAGCCAUACAACCUAGUCCAUGAGUUGGUCCAAAGAAUUUUCACUGGGGACUCCCAAAAUUACUGUCCCAGUGAUGGGCCAACAGUACCCUUGGAUGAGCUUAGUAAAUUGAGCAUUCUUAGGGCAGACUCCAGGGGACCAUAGUAAAAAUAGGAGGGAUUAAUUUUGUUUGCAAUUUGAGUAAAUACACCAAGGGCAAAGGAGACACAAAACCUGAACUAUGCUCUUAAGACUUGGAGAAAGCAAAAGGAAUCUGACAGGACAGUGUGUGGGAAAGCAGGGAUUACCUCUGCUUGUGUUGCUGCUGCUUGAAUCAAAGGGCUGUCUGCAUUUUUACUGGCAUAGCUGAGCUGCCAUGUAGCUGCUGGCAUGAGUAAGCCAUGGGAACACUCUGGUAUUGAUAAAAAGAACCUUGUUCCCAGCUUAGUUUAUAUUGCUCCAGAAACAGUUAAAGGAAAAAGAUGUCGCUCACCCCAAGAAUAUCCGAGAUGUUUAUCAGCCUAAUUAUAGUGAUUGAAUUCAUGCAUCACCAUACAUCUCUGUGGGUUUCCUGCAGAUUUCAUUGGAAGUGGAGCUUCUUGGAACAAGUCAGUGGCAAUCAUUUAAUCAGUGUUACACAUAAACUGGUUACUGAAGCAGAUUUUUGCUGUAUCACUAAACAGGGAUUACUGGAAUUUCCCAUAGGAAUAUAUUACUCUGGAUUAACAGCCUGGAAAAAAGUUUCCAACUCUGGUGUGCUGAGUGGCAUCACAACGUGACUGUGAGGUGUCAAUGGCCAUUCUAAGCUAUUAAGGGUAAAGAUACUUUUUCCUGGAUCUAGCCAUAAGUGCUUAGGUGAUUUGCAAAUGGAGCCCUAGGGACUCACAAACAGCAAGCAGCAAAACAGAUCCUCUGGAGAAAGUCAGCUGCAAAUCUGCAAACUGUCCAGUUCUUAAACAAAGGGAUUUAGAGAUUUUUUCAAGAUCUUCUGAAGAUUUUCCCUAAAACUCCCAAAGAGCUGAAGUUGUUAGGGAAAGUGCAAGCCACAUAGGAUGCACAUGAAAUAUCAAAAUAUCUCUGGCCACUAGACUUCACUGCUGGAAGAACAGGAAUUGUAGGAAAUAACCCCAAAACAUGUCAGCAAGGCUGUUCUGUGGCCCAAAGCACGAGGUUUUCCUCCCCCAGACAUGCCAGCUCAGCCAGAGAGCUGCUGCCUCAGGCAGGAGCAGUCAGUAAUGUGACUUUGGUGUCACUGUGACUGGCAAGGACCUCCACUGCUGGAGAUGGGCUCCAUUUGGAGAGAGAAGACAAAGUCUGAUGGAGGAAAUGGCUGUAAUGCAGAAGAGCAAAAUGAAAUACUGCUGUGGGAAGCUCAGUGUGCAAGCCAGGAAAGCACCCUGAUGGGGAUGCAGGGCACAGCUGGGGUAAGGAAUGUGGCAUCUGAUGGUACCUGCAGCAGACACAGGGCAGGGCUCUGUGCCUGCUGCUGCCUCACCACUACCCUCAUGUUAUCAUCAGGCAUUAGGAAGAAGUUCUUUACUCAGAGGGUGGUGAAGCACUGGAACAGAGAGCUCAGAGAGCUGUGGCUGCCUCUUCUCUGGAAGUGUUCAAGGCCCAGGUUGGAUGGUAGCAACCUGAUCUAGUGGGUGGCAUCCUGGCAGGGGGCUGGAAUGAUCUUUAAGGUCCCUUCCAACCCAAGCCACUCUGUGAUUCUGUGUUCUCACACACGCUGUGGUGCAUAGCAACUCGUCUGCUGGGCCAUCUGCUGAGCUGCCUGCACUCAAAUUAGGACUGCAACUCCUCCUUCCUAUGUGCAGCUUUUCAAAACUUACACCCUCCUCUCUGCAAACCUUCUUCUCCUGCUUGAUCCAUUACAUCAUCCAUCCUCAUCAGCUGGACUGGCUGGAAGGACAGGAGGUGUUUGGCAGCCUUGCAUUGUCUCUCACCCUCAGAUCAAUCCCCUCACCUGGGGAGAAGCAUUACAGGCACUUGCCUGCACUCUGUGUGCUGCCCCAUCCAACAGGGUCAUCAGUUCAGAGAUGGGGCAGGAAUCCCCCAGCCAGCAGUCAGCAUCUGCAUCAGCAUUCUGUGCUUCCAGGUCCCCAGCUGGGGAUGGUAGCAUGGUCUACUGUUGGCCCUGAGUCAUGCAAAUCUUAUGCCAGGCAAAGCAAAAAUGGCUGCACCAUGCAUAGAUUUAAUCUCUCAAAUAGACAGUGAGAUUUUUCAGUGAGUUCAUUAUUUUUAAGAAGUUACCAAUUUCUCUGCAACUCUGCUUUUAUUUCUCACCAUAACUCUAUCUGGCUGAAAUAUCAUUUUGUGGAAAAUUGUGUGAGCGAGAUGUUACACAAAAUGAACUGAAACUGUGCAUUUGAACAUAAUCAUAUCCAUUCAUUGCCUCCAGUUUCCAAUCACAGGCUGGUAAAUGCUGCAGUUCUCAUAGCACAUACCAUCUCUCCCAGUGUCACUGCAGCUACCAGGAGCUCUGAUAAUAAUGGCAGAUCUGGGGGUUUCCACUGGGAUGCAAAAUCCUCCUACCUGCUUUUCUUUUCCCACUCCCUUGCUGCUGAGGACCAUGGCUCUGUGCUUGAUCUGCAUUCAGCCAAUUCAUAGAAAAGCUAAAGAGAAAAACCUUGAGCUCAACCUGACAUUCAAGUUCAGUGUUUAAAGGUGAUGAGACAUCAUCAGUCACAAAGUACUGUUGUUUCUAGUAAGGAAUAUGUAGGAAAACAGUUCCAAUCAUUUAAAUGUUCCCCAUAAAUAUAGUCAUAAUGGGUUAGAAUUUGAGACUACAUUUUCUAGCUUUAGUUUUCUCUCUAAGCUCCUGUUUUGCUAAAGAACAUGAGGUACCAUUUCUAUUUCAAGGGCUUUUUUCUGAUGAGUCUAAGUACUUUGCACAUGAAACCUUUUCAGAGAGGACAAAGAGGUAUUCCAAGCAGACUCAUGCAAACUCAUAAAGGCAAAUGAAAGCUUCACAUCCAGCUCUCCAGUCUGACUCUGCACCUGCCUGAUUCCAGCAGCUUACUAAAGCCAGUAUUUACUUGGCCUUUCUGAUCCUUAUGGGUGCACUUGACUCUGGAAGGAAAAAGUUUCAUGCUGGGUGGUGCAGACUCAGUUAUGCUACAACACCACAUUUCCUUGCUGCUGUUGCUGUGCAGGCUCAUGUGCCUUUUCUUGUUAUCCCAGCAAGGAGCCAUGAAGAUUGUGCACCAUGAACUAAACCUGGAGUGGUUCUGCACAACCAUGUUUGCACUCCAAACAAGUACUCUGGUACUCUGACUGCAGCAACCCGAGCUGGAAGUCAGAAGUGGCCAGCUGCCCUACAACAAACUGACCUUAGGCUUUGUGUCCAUUAAUGCUGUAAGGUCUUACAUCUGAGUGCCUUCCUCUGCUCCUUAUCUUUUAUUCAUAUGCAUAGAUGACACAUAAAAUACCUGCUAAAACCUCUGACAAUAUGCUCAUACAGAGAUCCCAGCUCCACUUCCAAAUCCAGUGAACCCCAGAAACAAGUCAAACAGAAACCUGUCUGUGGGUGCACAGUGAGUUCUGAGCAUACCAGAAUUAGAGCCAGCACUGCUGAUGUCCUCAUUGAGCUGAGCCUGCUAAGCUACAGCCUCAUCCUUCCUUGGACCUGUCACUGGGGACCAUCUCCAGGACUACCCCUCUCCACCACUGUGUUCUGGGAAGGACUGCACAGCUACAGCUCCACACAAGCUCCCCUUGACUCUCACCUCCCAAUCCUGUGCUGCCUGUUCUCUGAUGGCAACUUCCACUGAAGCAUCUCUGAGCCCACCACAAGGAUGUUUUUGUCCGUCCCUGGAAAAGUGACAUCUGCAAUUCUAUUACAACAAUUCUGUUAGUCACGGCUGCGUUAACUGAAACCGAAAUGUGGUUUUUAACCUAAAAUAUGUUGCAUAACAGCUGAAGUACUGUAAUCUUAAGAGCCGGGAAAGGUUAAUUCCAGAGGGCACAAGAAUGUCGGUGGAAACUAAAAUACUCCAUAAGCGCA
Molecule: long non-coding RNA, 6783 nt
Organism: Serinus canaria (Common canary)
Lineage: Eukaryota; Metazoa; Chordata; Aves; Passeriformes; Fringillidae
Exons: 2
Source: RefSeq, a predicted model, not a curated record